This 225-nucleotide ribosomal RNA is filed under the name uncultured bacterium. RNAcentral describes it as "partial 16S ribosomal RNA". It matches the Rfam family "Bacterial small subunit ribosomal RNA", at positions 106 to 334 of the family's 1533-position model. The record is from RNAcentral.
CGGAGUAAUACAUCGGAACGUGUCUUCUAGUGGGGGAUAACUGCCCGAAAGGGCAGCUAAUACCGCAUGAGACCUGAGGGUGAAAGCGGGGGAUCGCAAGACCUCGCGCUGGAAGAGCGGCCGAUGUCCGAUUAGCUAGUUGGUGAGGUAAAGGCUCACCAAGGCGACGAUCGGUAGCUGGUCUGAGAGGACGACCAGCCACACUGGGACUGAGACACGGCCCAG